Molecule: ribosomal RNA, 254 nt
Filed under: uncultured bacterium
Lineage: Bacteria
Description: partial 16S ribosomal RNA
Rfam family: Bacterial small subunit ribosomal RNA
Source: RNAcentral
UACGAAGGGGGCUAGCGUUGCUCGGAAUCACUGGGCGUAAAGCGCACGUAGGCGGACUCUUAAGUCAGGGGUGAAAUCCUGGAGCUCAACUCCAGAACUGCCUUUGAUACUGGGAGUCUUGAGUUCGGGAGAGGUGAGUGGAACUGCGAGUGUAGAGGUGAAAUUCGUAGAUAUCAAGAGGAACACCUGAGGUGAAGACGGGUUGCUGGGCCGACACUGACGCUGACAGCGCGAAAGCCAGGGGAGCAAACGGG